AGUGAACGCUGGCGGUAGGCCUAACACAUGCAAGUCGAACGGCAGCACAGUAAGAGCUUGCCCUUACGGGUGGCGAGUGGCGGACGGGUGAGGAAUACAUCGGAAUCUACUUUUUCGUGGGGGAUAACGUAGGGAAACUUACGCUAAUACCGCAUACGACCUACGGGUGAAAGCAGGGGAUCUUCGGACCUUGCGCGACUGAAUGAGCCGAUGUCGGAUUAGCUAGUUGGCGGGGUAAAGGCCCACCAAGGCGACGAUCCGUAGCUGGUCUGAGAGGAUGAUCAGCCACACUGGAACUGAGACACGGCCCAGACUCCUACGGGAGGCAGCAGUGGGGAAUAUUGGACAAUGGGCGCAAGCCUGAUCCAGCCAUGCCGCGUGGGUGAAGAAGGCCUUCGGGUUGUAAAGCCCUUUUGUUGGGAAAGAAAAGCAGCAGGUUAAUACCCCGCUGUUCUGACGGUACCCAAAGAAUAAGCACCGGCUAACUUCGUG
This 492-nucleotide ribosomal RNA is filed under the name uncultured bacterium. RNAcentral's name for it is "partial 16S ribosomal RNA". It matches the Rfam family "Bacterial small subunit ribosomal RNA", at positions 29 to 507 of the family's 1533-position model. The record is from RNAcentral.